AACGAACGCUGGCGGCAUGCCUAACACAUGCAAGUCGAACGAGACCUUCGGGUCUAGUGGCGCACGGGUGCGUAACGCGUGGGAACCUGCCCUUAGGUUCGGAAUAACUCCCCGAAAGGGGUGCUAAUACCGGAUAAUGUCUUCGGACCAAAGAUUUAUCGCCUUUGGAUGGGCCCGCGUUGGAUUAGCUAGUUGGUAGGGUAAAAGCCUACCAAGGCGACGAUCCAUAGCUGGUCUGAGAGGAUGAUCAGCCACACUGGGACUGAGACACGGCCCAGACUCCUACGGGAGGCAGCAGUGGGGAAUAUUGGACAAUGGGCGAAAGCCUGAUCCAGCAAUGCCGCGGGAGUGAUGAAGGCCUUAGGGUUGUAAAGCUCUUUUACCGGGAUGAUAAUGACAGUACCGGGAGAAUAAGCGCCGGCUAACUCCGUG
RNAcentral lists this ribosomal RNA (432 nucleotides) under uncultured bacterium. RNAcentral's name for it is "partial 16S ribosomal RNA". It matches the Rfam family "Bacterial small subunit ribosomal RNA", at positions 29 to 507 of the family's 1533-position model. The record is from RNAcentral.